Brassica napus (rape) is the source of this 124-nucleotide non-coding RNA. The record is from Rfam. Lineage: Eukaryota; Viridiplantae; Streptophyta; Magnoliopsida; Brassicales; Brassicaceae.
GGAAUAUAAGAACUUUUCUCUUAACUUUUAACUAAAAAAGCUAAGAACGAACUCUUAAAUAAGAGUUUUGAGAGACGAUUCUUAGUUUUUUAGUUAAAAGUUAAUAGAUGUUUUCUUAUAUUCC